RNAcentral lists this unclassified non-coding RNA (595 nucleotides) under Hevea brasiliensis (rubber tree). The record is from RNAcentral. Lineage: Eukaryota; Viridiplantae; Streptophyta; Magnoliopsida; Malpighiales; Euphorbiaceae.
CAAAAAACAGACCAAUUGACUCCAAAGGGAAAAGGGGGCAUAAAGUGUUGGUUCUAAAUGACGUCGACAAACUAUCAAGAGAGGCCCAACACUCUCUUAGGAGAACAAUGGAGAAAUAUAGCUCGUACUGUAGGUUAAUACUUUGCUGCAAUAGUUCAUCAAGAGUUACUGAAGCAAUCCGUUCUCGCUGCCUAAAUGUGCGGAUAAAUGGACCAACAGAGGAGCAGAUUGUCAGGGUACUUGAGUUCAUUGGCAAGAAAGAAGGACUGCAACUUCCAUCUGGAUUUGCUUCCCGUAUUGCAGAAAAAUCAAAUCGGAGUUUGAGGAGAGCUAUACUAUCAUUCGAGACUUGUCGUGUUCAACAGUAUCCUUUUGUCAGUACCCAGGCAAUUCCACCGAUGGAUUGGGAGGAGUACAUCACUGAGAUAGCAUCUGACAUAAUGAAGGAGCAGAGUCCCAAGAGACUAUUCCAGGUUCGUGGGAAGGUAUAUGAGCUACUGGUUAAUUGUAUCCCACCGGAGAUCAUAUUGAAGAGGCUGCUUUAUGAGCUACUCAAGAAAUUGGAUGCUGAAUUAAAGCAUGAGGUCUGUCAUUG